GCUUGUCUAGCUUAGUCGGUAGAGCACAAGAGUCUUAACCUUAUAGUUGUGAGUUCAAGCCCCACGAUGAACA
RNAcentral lists this transfer RNA (73 nucleotides) under Zea mays. It matches the Rfam family "tRNA". From Rfam's summary of the family: Transfer RNA (tRNA) molecules are approximately 80 nucleotides in length. Their secondary structure includes four short double-helical elements and three loops (D, anti-codon, and T loops). Further hydrogen bonds mediate the characteristic L-shaped molecular structure. tRNAs have two regions of fundamental functional importance: the anti-codon, which is responsible for specific mRNA codon recognition, and the 3' end, to which the tRNAs corresponding amino acid is attached (by aminoacyl-tRNA synthetases). tRNAs cope with the degeneracy of the genetic code in two manners: having more than one tRNA (with a specific anti-codon) for a particular amino acid; and 'wobble' base-pairing, i.e. permitting non-standard base-pairing at the 3rd anti-codon position. The record is from Rfam by way of RNAcentral. Lineage: Eukaryota; Viridiplantae; Streptophyta; Magnoliopsida; Poales; Poaceae.